RNA transcript from Helianthus annuus (common sunflower), 1716 nucleotides. It is a transcript of the gene named synaptotagmin-2, with no coding region annotated. The record is from RefSeq and is a predicted model, not a curated record. The transcript is spliced from 2 exons. NCBI's taxonomy places the organism in Eukaryota, Viridiplantae, Streptophyta, Magnoliopsida, Asterales, Asteraceae.
CAAGCUCUUCAAUUAUAAAUAAGAGUGUGGAGUUCUCGCUUUUGCUUCAAACAAUGGCUCACACAAAACAAUUUGAACACCUCAAAAUACAAUUAGAAGCUAUAAAAUCAGCUACCAACAACUUCGCUGAUUGCAUCGGGAGAGGAGGAUUCGGGAAAGUAUAUAAGGGAAAGAUUGUCAGUUUUUAUGGGCAAUCCAUGGUUGCUUUGAAGCGUUUAGAUCGCAGAUUCGGGCAAGGAGAUCCCGAAUUUUGGAAAGAGAUCAUGAUGCUCUCUAUUUACAAACAUGAAAAUAUUGUCUCUCUCUUAGGGUUUUGUGAUGAUCAUGGCGAGAAGAUCCUCGUGUAUGAGUAUGUACCUAACAAAAGCCUUGAUUAUUACCUCAACAAUAAUGAUCUAAGAUGGGUAAGACGCCUUAAGAUAUGCAUUGGGGCGGCUCGAGGAUUGGCGUACCUUCACGGUGCAUCUGAAACCCAACAAAGAGUAUUUCAUCGUGAUAUCAAAAGUUCAAAUAUUUUAUUAGAUGAAAAUUGGAACGCCAAGAUAUCAGAUUUUGGUCUCUCCAAGUUUGGUCCUACCAAUCAGGAAUACACAUUUCUUUUCUCGAACCCUGUAGGUACACCUGGGUAUUGUGAUCCGCUUUACGCAGAGACCGGGUAUUUAACAAAAGAGUCAGACGUUUACUCUUUUGGCGUUGUGUUGUUUGAAGUAUUGUGUGGGAGGUUGAGCUUCCACAACAAAAAUGGAUCUUUAGUAGCAUUGGCGCGAUAGUCCUACCAACAGAAGACGAUAAACGAAAUUGUGUAUGGUAAUAUAAAGGACGAAAUAAAUCCUGAUUCCUUGCAGGCGUUUGCUAAAAUAGCAUACCAAUGUUUAAACAGAGAGCGUGAGGAUCGUCCACUAAUGAGCGACAUUGUGAGGGAACUUGAAACUGCACUUGAAUAUCAAGUAGGCCUCUUUCAUUUUUGUGUCAUGUAUAAUUGGAAGAAAAGCUAGUGCCAAAACUAUUUUUCUUUUUUUUUUUUUUUUUUUUGCUUCAGGAGCCAGUUGCAAAGAGUUGUUUAUCGCCAGAGCCUAGCGAGACCGAGAUGUUGGAAUUGGACCGCGGAGGGUUGCUUGUGGUUACAAUCCAUGAAGGAAGUGAUAUUAAAGUUAAAGCAAAACAUCCAUACAUCGACCUGCGUAUCGGACUUGACUAUAGAAAAACCGAGGUUUGUGUUAAUUGUGUACUUAUUUGUAUUUCAAAUUAAGAGACCAAAUUAUAAUUUGUGGAUUGUAGACCAUGAACAACCGUCAACAUCACGUAUGGGAAGAAACGUUUAAGUUUACAGUAGAGAAUCCUGCUAAAGCAACAUUGCAUUUGGAACUUUGUUCUUCCUCAUGGAGAGAAUCAUUUAGUUUAGCAUACCAGGGUUCAAGUUUAGUGGAUAUAAGUGUUGCGGAUGUGGUAAAACAAAAACAUAUGGACAACGUGUACGACAUUGCAAACGGUCGAAUUCGGGUGGAGUUGCGAUGGGAACCUUCAACAAUGGCGAUGAAGAAAACACCAAAAUUUAUACAAUUGAUGACUUCACUUUACAAUAUAAGUGCUAAUUGAUUUCAUUUUGAACUUUGUUCUUGUUAUAACUUAUAAAGAAUAAUUAUGUAUGUUUUUCAGUUACAUGUCAAUUAUAUAUGUGUUUAACCUGUAAUAUAUAUUCAUAAUAAGUUUUCAUGA